GAUGAACGCUGGCGGCGUGCCUAAUACAUGCAAGUCGAGCGAACAGACGAGGAGCUUGCUCCUCUGACGUUAGCGGCGGACGGGUGAGUAACACGUGGAUAACCUACCUAUAAGACUGGGAUAACUUCGGGAAACCGGAGCUAAUACCGGAUAACAUGUUGAACCGCAUGGUUCAACAGUGAAAGACGGUUUUGCUGUCACUUAUAGAUGGAUCCGCGUCGCAUUAGCUAGUUGGUAAGGUAACGGCUUACCAAGGCAACGAUGCGUAGCCGACCUGAGAGGAUGAUCAGCCACACUGGAACUGAGACACGGUCCAGACUCCUACGGGAGGCAGCAGUAGGGAAUCUUCCGCAAUGGGCGAAAGCCUGACGGAGCAACGCCGCGUGAGUGAAGAAGGUCUUCGGAUCGUAAAACUCUGUUAUUAGGGAAGAACAAAUGUGUAAGUAACUAUGCACGUCUUGACGGUACCUAAUCAGAAAGCCACGGCUAACUACGUG
This 497-nucleotide ribosomal RNA is filed under the name uncultured bacterium. RNAcentral describes it as "partial 16S ribosomal RNA". It matches the Rfam family "Bacterial small subunit ribosomal RNA", at positions 28 to 507 of the family's 1533-position model. The record is from RNAcentral.